Molecule: ribosomal RNA, 468 nt
Filed under: uncultured bacterium
Lineage: Bacteria
Description: partial 16S ribosomal RNA
Rfam family: Bacterial small subunit ribosomal RNA
Source: RNAcentral
GACGAACGCUGGCGGCGUGCUUAACACAUGCAAGUCGAACGGAAAGGCCCUGCUUUUGUGGGGUGCUCGAGUGGCGAACGGGUGAGUAACACGUGAGUAACCUGCCCUUGACUUUGGGAUAACUUCAGGAAACUGGGGCUAAUACCGGAUAGGAGCUCCUGCUGCAUGGUGGGGGUUGGAAAGUUUCGGCGGUUGGGGAUGGACUCGCGGCUUAUCAGCUUGUUGGUGGGGUAGGUGCUUACCAAGGCUUUGACGGGUAGCCGGCCUGAGAGGGUGACCGGCCACAUUGGGACUGAGAUACGGACCAGACUCCUACGGGAGGCAGCAGUGGGGAAUAUUGCACAAUGGGCGGAAGCCUGAUGCAGCAACGCCGCGUGCGGGAUGACGGCCUUCGGGUUGUAAACCGCUUUCGCCGGUGACGAAGCGUGAGUGACGGUAAUGGGUAAGGAAGCACCGGCUAACUACGUG